UACGGAGGGGGCUAGCGUUGUUCGGAAUUACUGGGCGUAAAGCGCACGUAGGCGGCUAUUCAAGUCAGAGGUGAAAGCCCGGGGCUCAACCCCGGAACUGCCUUUGAAACUAGAUAGCUAGAAUCUUGGAGAGGCGAGUGGAAUUCCGAGUGUAGAGGUGAAAUUCGUAGAUAUUCGGAAGAACACCAGUGGCGAAGGCGACUCGCUGGACAAGUAUUGACGCUGAGGUGCGAAAGCGUGGGGAGCAAACAGG
Molecule: ribosomal RNA, 253 nt
Filed under: uncultured bacterium
Lineage: Bacteria
Description: partial 16S ribosomal RNA
Rfam family: Bacterial small subunit ribosomal RNA
Source: RNAcentral